CUUAGAUAACCCACGAGGAUUCCAUAGAUCAGUGGAGAAAAGUUUUUGAAGUGUCGGGAAUUAUUUCUGUAUUGACAUAUAUGUUUUAUCAAUUCUUUGGUACUGCAGAAAUACAAUCUUGGAAUACACAACGACCAGUUAGCAAUCCGCGGCAUGAGUUGCUUAAAAUACUGUCAA
Long non-coding RNA from Drosophila navojoa, 177 nucleotides. The record is from RefSeq and is a predicted model, not a curated record. Lineage: Eukaryota; Metazoa; Arthropoda; Insecta; Diptera; Drosophilidae.